AGUGAACGCUGGCGGUAGGCCUAACACAUGCAAGUCGAACGGCAGCACAGUAAGAGCUUGCUCUUACGGGUGGCGAGUGGCGGACGGGUGAGGAAUACAUCGGAAUCUACUCUUUCGUGGGGGAUAACGUAGGGAAACUUACGCUAAUACCGCAUACGACCUACGGGUGAAAGCAGUGGAUCUUCGGACCUUGCGCGAUUGAAUGAGCCGAUGUCGGAUUAGCUAGUUGGCGGGGUAAAGGCCCACCAAGGCGACGAUACGUAGCUGGUCUGAGAGGAUGAUAGGCCACAUUGGAGCUGAGACACGCACAAGACUACUACGGGAGGGAGCAGUGGCGAAUAUUAGGCAAUGGGCGCGAGCCUGAUCCAGCCAUACGGCGUGGGUGAAGAAGACCUUCAGGUUGUGAAGACCUUUUGUUGGGAAAAAAAAGCAGCAGGUUAAUACCCCGCUGUUCUGACGGUACCCAAAGAAGAAGCACCGGCUAACUUCGUG
This 492-nucleotide ribosomal RNA is filed under the name uncultured bacterium. RNAcentral describes it as "partial 16S ribosomal RNA". It matches the Rfam family "Bacterial small subunit ribosomal RNA", at positions 29 to 507 of the family's 1533-position model. The record is from RNAcentral.